Long non-coding RNA from Brassica napus (rape), 1493 nucleotides. RefSeq lists it as uncharacterized. NCBI's taxonomy places the organism in Eukaryota, Viridiplantae, Streptophyta, Magnoliopsida, Brassicales, Brassicaceae. The record is from RefSeq and is a predicted model, not a curated record. The transcript has 3 exons.
AAAAAUAAAUCUAACCAGACAAUCUAAAAGUAUUAGAAAGUAUUAAAACUGUUCGAAUGAAUCAAAUAACUCAAUAUUAACAAAGAACAUAAGGUCGCCGGCCUUACAAGAUACAAUUGCUUUGUUAACUGUUUGUUGUUGUGACAGGGUCUUGGAUUCAAAGAUCAAUUGAUUGCGACUCAGCCAUAGACACCAACAGAUCCAGGGGGAGAUGUUGGAUACAAUCCCCACCGGCGGAAGGUUAAUACGUCGAUGAGAGGUCUGGAGUUCCUCUUGGAAGGAGGAGCUUUGGGAUGAGUUGAAGCUAGAUGUCCACGGGGAGAGUUUCCACACUUCAGUAGCAUAAGGGCAGAGGAAGAGAACAUGGAGAAGCGUCUCCGGAGCUCCACACCGCACACAGUUAUUAUUCCUUGGGAUGUUCCUUCUAAGCAAAUUAUCUCCUGUAGACAGUGGAUUCAGGCGCAUUCGUGAGACUAGGUCGUAGCAUCAGGAUGUGUUCAGAUAGCUUUGGUAGUAGCUUCUCCAGGAGAGCUCGAUUCCACUCCUUUGUCUCUCUCGAGAGUAGACAACUUUAUAUAUCAAUCUAUUAUUAUAAAGUUGUGUUCUCUCUCCUGAGAGAGACACUUAGAUUCCAGGUCACAAAGUUUGCUUCUGUCCAGGCGACACGUGUCUUCUGUAGACAAAACUCAGCGUUUCAGUAAGGAGAUAUCUUAAACUCUACGUUUCAUAGACAUCGAGACCAGCCGCAAAAAAAUUUAGGGUUUGGUGUUUCUUCCACAAUGAAUCAAAGAGUCUUUUUCUUCUUCGAUCUCUGCAAGGCGGUGUCUAUAUUCCUCUAAAAUGGCUAAUUCAUCAAUCCUUUUUCAGAAUAGAAGUCAGCCCUAUGUUUUUCAACCGUGGAGGUGCGAUUGACAGAAACGUCAUUAGCUCUGGAGACGUACCAAGAGGCUUCAUUGGCCCUCAUGUUAAUAGAUGACAGUGGCAAGGGCCAAUGAUGAUGGCAGAGAUAAGACCUCAGCAGAUAAUAUUAACAAUAGAGCCCAUUCACCUGGCUGUUCUCGGUGGCCAACCACUUUGAGAUCUUCUGUGUCGUCCCAGUCCCAAAGGUUUCGCAGCGGUUUGUCAUUGUAUUGUAAGGAAGCGGAGAAGUGGAGACAGAUGAGACAACCACUACUUGACCAGCCGCCACCUCAAGGGCCUAAAUAACAAAUUUAUGAACCAACCAAUGAUAAGAAGAUACAAUAUCUACAUCAACCAGUUUCUAACUUAUGUCGAAUACGGUCUGCACUUGCAGAUUCCAUGAGCUGGUCAAUGCUGAUAAGUUGAGGAAUAGAUGGUGAAGAGGACCCUCUUGGGUGAAAACGUACAGAGAGUUCACUCGUCGCUUCGUCCUCAACCAUUGAACCUGCAUUUACGUCCUGUAAUAUAUAAACACAAGCAGGCAAGAUUAUAAUAUUUAAAAUCCAAGUCUUGAAGAAAAAUCCAAUUCGGUU